RNAcentral lists this ribosomal RNA (482 nucleotides) under uncultured bacterium. Its description in RNAcentral is "bacterial SSU rRNA". It matches the Rfam family "Bacterial small subunit ribosomal RNA", at positions 28 to 508 of the family's 1533-position model. The record is from RNAcentral.
GACGAACGCUGGCGGCGUGGAUUAGGCAUGCAAGUCGAACGGUAGGAUACCUUCGGGUAUCUGAGAGUGGCGAACGGGUGAGUAACACGUAGGUGAUCUACCCUCAAGAUUAGGACAACCCAGGGAAACUUAGGCUAAUACCGGAUGAAAGCAGCAGUGAUGUUGUUUGAAAGGUGGCGUAAGCUGCCGUUUGGGGAUGAGCCUACGCUCUAUUAGUUAGUUGGCGGGGUAAAAGCCCACCAAGGCAAUGAUAGAUAGGCGGCCUUAACGGGUGGUCGCCCACACUGGGAUUGAGAUACGGCCCAGACUCCUACGGGAGGCAGCAGUCGAGAAUAGUCUACAAUGGCCGAAAGGCUGAUAGUGCGACGCCGCGUGAACGAAGAACGCCCUUCGGGGUGUAAAGUUCUUUUAUAUGGGAGCAAUAAGGUCUACGUGUAGACUGAUGAGAGUACCAUAUGAAUAAGCAUCGGCUAACUCCGUGC